CACUAACCGUGCGAACGUUAUUCGGAAUCACUGGGCUUAAAGCGUGCGUAGGCGGCCUGGAAGGUGGGGUGUGAAAGCCCUCGGCUCAACCGAGGAAUUGCGCCCCAAACCACUUGGCUUGAGGGAGACAGAGGUGAGCGGAACUCACGGUGGAGCGGUGAAAUGCGUUGAUAUCGUGAGGAACACCGGUGGCGAAAGCGGCUCACUGGGUCUCUUCUGACGCUGAGGCACGAAAGCUAGGGGAGCGAACAGG
This 253-nucleotide unclassified non-coding RNA is filed under the name uncultured Pirellulaceae bacterium. Its description in RNAcentral is "contains 16S-23S intergenic spacer region". It matches the Rfam family "Bacterial small subunit ribosomal RNA", at positions 524 to 776 of the family's 1533-position model. The record is from RNAcentral. Lineage: Bacteria; Pseudomonadati; Planctomycetota; Planctomycetia; Pirellulales; Pirellulaceae.